GGACUUCUGCAAAGUUAGUGAACGGAGGCAAUUCAAUUUGAGCCAAUUCAUUUGAUUGGGAGACCAACGCAUCAACCUGAUCGGCAGGCAAACUCGUCACCGUACGAGGAGCAUAAGCCGCAGGGCUCAGGUCACCCACCUGUCUCAGGCAGGUUCAAAUGAAGCCCCGCCACGGCCAAGCGGAAGUCCC
Molecule: non-coding RNA, 190 nt
Filed under: Blastocatellia bacterium
Lineage: Bacteria; Pseudomonadati; Acidobacteriota; Blastocatellia
Description: 6S RNA
Rfam family: 6S / SsrS RNA
About the family: E. coli 6S RNA was the first non coding RNA to be sequenced, but its function was unknown until recently. It consists of 184 nucleotides that fold into an extended hairpin structure with a large single-stranded internal bulge.
Source: RNAcentral